Molecule: non-coding RNA, 402 nt
Organism: Durio zibethinus
Lineage: Eukaryota; Viridiplantae; Streptophyta; Magnoliopsida; Malvales; Malvaceae
Source: RefSeq, a predicted model, not a curated record
UUUCAAAAAAAAAAAAAAGGAGCAGCAGCGGUAAAGGGAGGCUGCCACCGUGGGUUUUUAGGGUUGCAAAUCAAGUUCUAAGGUUAUUAAGAUAUUUGAGUGAUUUGUUUCGUACUAUCAAUUCAGCAAACCAACUUUCAAUAAUUGCACCUCCAUAGGAUUACUUUGGACGAGAGCUUUGUUAGCAAGUUUAGCAUCUGCCCUUAGUCUCGUGUUUCUCAAAUGUGAGUAUUUUGGAUAUCAGUCGUUAGUAAAUUUGUUAGUUAGUGAAAUUUUUGUACCCUUCACCAAAUUAUAUCACUGAAUUUUGGAGAAUUUAGGUUUUGUAAGAUAUGAUACAUGGAGACUUUGAAAUUCUGUAUGGUGUUAUCUUGAAAAAAAUUUUGAGGUUCUGAAUUUUUA